GUGGGGAAUUUUGGACAAUGGGGGCAACCCUGAUCCAGCCAUCCCGCGUGUGCGAUGAAGGCCUUCGGGUUGUAAAGCACUUUUGGCAGGAAAGAAACGGCGCUGACUAAUACUUGGCGCAACUGACGGUACCUGCAGAAUAAGCACCGGCUAACUACGUGCCAGCAGCCGCGGUAAUACGUAGGGUGCAAGCGUUAAUCGGAAUUACUGGGCGUAAAGCGUGCGCAGGCGGUUCGGAAAGAAAGAUGUGAAAUCCCAGAGCUUAACUUUGGAACUGCAUUUUUAACUACCGGGCUAGAGUGUGUCAGAGGGAGGUGGAAUUCCGCGUGUAGCAGUGAAAUGCGUAGAUAUGCGGAGGAACACCGAUGGCGAAGGCAGCCUCCUGGGAUAACACUGACGCUCAUGCACGAAAGCGUGGGGAGCAA
RNAcentral lists this ribosomal RNA (425 nucleotides) under uncultured Bordetella sp. RNAcentral describes it as "bacterial SSU rRNA". It matches the Rfam family "Bacterial small subunit ribosomal RNA", at positions 354 to 771 of the family's 1533-position model. Lineage: Bacteria; Pseudomonadati; Pseudomonadota; Betaproteobacteria; Burkholderiales; Alcaligenaceae. The record is from RNAcentral.